RNAcentral lists this ribosomal RNA (216 nucleotides) under Spelaeiacris tabulae. Its description in RNAcentral is "partial 28S ribosomal RNA". It matches the Rfam family "Eukaryotic large subunit ribosomal RNA", at positions 75 to 273 of the family's 3401-position model. The record is from RNAcentral. Lineage: Eukaryota; Metazoa; Arthropoda; Insecta; Orthoptera; Rhaphidophoridae.
UUCCCUUAGUAGCGGCGAGCGAACAGGGAGAAGCCCAGCACCGAAUCUCGCGGGUUGACGCUCGCCGAGAAAUGUGGUGUUUGGGAGGAUCCAUUUAUCCCGGGGUUUUUGCGGCGAGUCCAAGUCCUUCUUGAAUGGGGCCACGGCCCAGAGAGGGUGCCAGGCCCGUAGGGCCGCUGCUGAUCUCGGGAGGAUCUCUCCUUAGAGUCGGGUUGC